Long non-coding RNA from Oncorhynchus masou masou (cherry salmon), 522 nucleotides. RefSeq lists it as uncharacterized. The record is from RefSeq and is a predicted model, not a curated record. The transcript is spliced from 2 exons. Lineage: Eukaryota; Metazoa; Chordata; Actinopteri; Salmoniformes; Salmonidae.
UAGGCUAUGUUAUGUAGAAAGUAAUCUUUCAAGUGGAACAAACUGUGGCUGUAGUCUACUGGAGAAUUGAUGACAUGAAACUAUCAUGACAAUGACCCAACACACCUCCAGGCUGUGUAAGGGAUAUUUUACCAAGAAGGAGAGUCAUGAAGUGCUGCAUCAGAUGACCUGGCCUCCACAAUCCCCCGACCUCAACCACAUUGAGAUGGUUUGGGAUGAGUCGGACCGCAGAGUGAAGUAAAAGCAGCCAACAAGUGCUCAGCAUAUGUGGGAACUACUUCAAGAGUGUUGGAAAAGCGUUCCAGGUUAAGCUGGUUCAGAGAAUGCCAAGAGUGUGGAAAGCUGUCAUCAAGGCCAAGGGUGGCUACUUUGAAGAAUCUCAAAUAUAAAAUAUAUUUUGAUUUGUUUACAUUUUUUGGGGUUACUACAUGAUUCCAAAUGUGUUAUUUCAUAGUGUUGAUGUCUUCACUAUUAUUCUAUAAUGUAGAAAAUAGUCCAAAUAAAGAAAAACCCUUGAAUGAG